GACGAACGCUGGCGGCGUGCCUAAUACAUGCAAGUCGAGCGAAGUUUUUCUGGUGCUUGCACUAGAAAAACUUAGCGGCGAACGGGUGAGUAACACGUAAAGAACCUGCCUCAUAGACUGGGACAACUAUUGGAAACGAUAGCUAAUACCGGAUAACAGUAUUUCUCGCAUGAGAGAUAUUUAAAAGUUGGUUAUGCUAACACUAUGAGAUGGGUUUGCGGUGCAUUAGCUAGUUGGUGGGGUAAAGGCCCACCAAGGCGACGAUGCAUAGCCGACCUGAGAGGGUGAUCGGCCACACUGGGACUGAGACACGGCCCAGACUCCUACGGGAGGCAGCAGUAGGGAAUCUUCCGCAAUGGGCGAAAGCCUGACGGAGCAACGCCGCGUGAGUGAAGAAGGAUUUCGGUUCGUAAAGCUCUGUUGUUAGGGAAGAAUGGAUAUGUAGUAACUAUACAUGUAAGAGACGGUACCUAACCAGAAAGCCACGGCUAACUACGUG
RNAcentral lists this ribosomal RNA (499 nucleotides) under uncultured bacterium. RNAcentral describes it as "partial 16S ribosomal RNA". It matches the Rfam family "Bacterial small subunit ribosomal RNA", at positions 28 to 507 of the family's 1533-position model. The record is from RNAcentral.